Non-coding RNA from Biomphalaria pfeifferi, 253 nucleotides. The record is from the annotation of a GenBank genome assembly. NCBI's taxonomy places the organism in Eukaryota, Metazoa, Mollusca, Gastropoda, Planorbidae.
AGAUGGAGGCUGUGUGAGAUGGAGACUUUGUGAGUUCUCCACAGCUGUGUGAGAAAGAGGUUGUGUGAAUGAAAAUACAAGAUCAGGAAACUGAUUCUUGGCGUAUUUCUUUAGUAUUAAACUAACAAUAACAAAAAUAUAAUGCAUUUGAAUAUUUCAAAAGUAACAUUCAGACUCUCAAGUAUGUUUUAAAUAACACAUUUCUACAAGCAUUUGAUUUGGGAAUUUCUUUGGGUUUUUUUUAGAAUUGGUG